AUGAAAAGAGGCAUACCUGCUUCACCAACUCCCACAAAGGGGGAGGCAUCAAGCUCAAAAAUUAUAAAGAAGGAAGAAUCCCCAAAAUAUAAGACAUAUCAAGAAUGCCUUCUAAAGGGGCUUGACCCUUUAGACAGUGAAUACAUAGAUCAAGAAAUGGAUAAAAGGUUUGAAGAAUUUUCAAAGAUAAUAAAGAAAGAAUUAAAGGAGGAAAUAUUAAAAGAAUUAAGGCAAGAAAUGGAUGAAAAAUUUGAGGAAAUAAAGAAAGAAUAUGAUGAAAAAUAUGAUUUCAAUCUGAUAAAUGAUGAUGAUCAUAUGGACAUAGCAGGGCAUGGGCAGCGGCCAGAAUAA
RNAcentral lists this ribosomal RNA (351 nucleotides) under Triticum aestivum (bread wheat). RNAcentral's name for it is "partial small subunit ribosomal RNA". The record is from RNAcentral. Lineage: Eukaryota; Viridiplantae; Streptophyta; Magnoliopsida; Poales; Poaceae.